UAGUUGGGAUGAACUGACGACAGCUAC
This 27-nucleotide non-coding RNA is filed under the name Bombyx mori (domestic silkworm). The record is from RNAcentral. Lineage: Eukaryota; Metazoa; Arthropoda; Insecta; Lepidoptera; Bombycidae.